Molecule: non-coding RNA, 24 nt
Filed under: Rattus norvegicus (Norway rat)
Lineage: Eukaryota; Metazoa; Chordata; Mammalia; Rodentia; Muridae
Source: RNAcentral
UUAGACAAGAUUUUCAGCAUUGGA